GUACACUCCUACGGGAGGCAGCAGUGGGGAAUAUUGGACAAUGGGCGCAAGCCUGAUCCAGCCAUGCCGCGUGAGUGAUGAAGGCCCUAGGGUUGUAAAGCUCUUUCACCGGUGAAGAUAAUGACGGUAACCGGAGAAGAAGCCCCGGCUAACUUCGUGCCAGCAGCCGCGGUAAUACGAAGGGGGCUAGCGUUGUUCGGAUUUACUGGGCGUAAAGCGCACGUAGGCGGACUAUUAAGUCAGGGGUGAAAUCCCGGGGCUCAACCCCGGAACUGCCUUUGAUACUGGUAGUCUUGAGUUCGAGAGAGGUGAGUGGAAUUCCGAGUGUAGAGGUGAAAUUCGUAGAUAUUCGGAGGAACACCAGUGGCGAAGGCGGCUCACUGGCUCGAUACUGACGCUGAGGUGCGAAAGCGUGGGGAGCAAACAGGAUUAGAUACCCCGGUAGUCCCA
Molecule: ribosomal RNA, 450 nt
Filed under: uncultured organism
Description: partial 16S ribosomal RNA
Rfam family: Bacterial small subunit ribosomal RNA
Source: RNAcentral